Molecule: long non-coding RNA, 1392 nt
Filed under: Gossypium barbadense (sea-island cotton)
Lineage: Eukaryota; Viridiplantae; Streptophyta; Magnoliopsida; Malvales; Malvaceae
Description: long non-coding RNA (GBAR_LNC010090)
Source: RNAcentral
UGAUAGGUUAGGGGAAUACAUGGUAAAAAACGGUUACAAAAAGUGUCUUAGAAGAUUUAAAUAUGAUGGGAAAUCAAAUUACAACAGACUAGGAUCUAACUAGAAGUUAUUUUACAAAAAUUUAGAGUCUAAAAAUUCUCAGUAAUGUUCGAAUUAAUCUAUGGAGAAUUACAAAUAAUUUCUUGCCUACUUUAAGUAAUUUAAAAGGUCGUAGACUGAUAUAUGAUGCUUUAUGCCCACUUUGUGGAGAAGAAGAUGAGUUUGUAAGCCACAUCUUCCGAGACUACAUCCUCGCAAAACAAGUCGUCCAGUAAAUGACAUUGACAUUGGUCCCCGUUCAUGAAAAUCAAGAAUGGAAACAAUGGUUAGCGGAGACUUUCAAUCUCAAUAAUGCAUAUAAAUGUUCAUGCUUAGCAGUAUCAUUAAGGGCAAUAUGGCAUAACAAGACUAUAUAUUUCCUUGAAAGCAUCAGACAAAGAACAUGCGAGAUUGUAGCUUAUAUUAAAGCAUACUUAGCGGAUCUUGACAAGCUAAAGGAAGCACUAAAAUGUCAACAUAACACAGUGAUUACCCAAUGAGAGCCUCCAUCAGAAAGUCAAGUUAAAAUUAAUUUUGAUUUUGCGUUUCUUCAACAAAGCAACAAAGCAGUCUUAGGAAUUAUCAUUAGAAAUCAUACGGGGCUUGUAAUGGGUUUGUGUUCUUACUCGAUCUAUAAUGUUAGAGAUCUAACAAUUGCUAAAGAGUAUGCAUACCUUAAAUGAGCCGUUUUUGCUAAAAAAAAAUGGGAUUUAGUGAUGUUAUCAUAGAAGGGGACUCAAGGAUCGUUAUUCAAAAACUGCAAAACCAUGGAAAUGACAAAUCAGUCGUCGGGGGAGUUAUAAACAAAAUAAUAGCAAUGUCAAGAAUUUUUUGAAAUAUUGAGUUCCGAUUCAUACCGCAAAAAGCCAACGGAGCGGCGCAUACAAUGGCUGCAUAGGGCAGAGGAAGCGAUUUUUCGACUUUCUAGGUGGAAAAAACUCCAUUGGAGGUUGAACCUAUCAUAGCUAGAGACCAAAGAAGAACUGAUUAAUGAAAAUGUAUGGAUGUUUGAUGGACUAAGUCUAAAAAAGAAGACGGGUUAACAAAGCUCCGAGGAACUCAAAAGAUGAUGGACCGGGGGAACGAAGUCAAGACGAGAAUAAAGGAUUUGUUUUAACAGGUCCACCGUUGAAAUGAAUUUUGGCAAUGCGACAAAAGAAGGGAAGAAUAAGGGAAGGUUAAGUCUUUAGGGUUUUCUUGUUGUGUUCUUUUUUAGGAAAAUUUGCGUUUUCUUCACUUACAAAAGUGUAGGGGACUGGUUUUAUCUUAAGAAAUGAAAAAUUGAGGCUUCGCCCACUCUUUCGUGAUGUUUUG